RNAcentral lists this ribosomal RNA (330 nucleotides) under uncultured bacterium. RNAcentral's name for it is "bacterial SSU rRNA". It matches the Rfam family "Bacterial small subunit ribosomal RNA", at positions 568 to 898 of the family's 1533-position model. The record is from RNAcentral.
UGUGUAGGCGGUUUGGUAAGUCUGGUGUGAAAUCUCCCGGCUCAACUGGGAGGGUGCGCCGGAAACUGCCGGACUCGAGUGCGGGAGAGGAGAGUGGAAUUCCUGGUGUAGCGGUGAAAUACGUAGAUAUCAGGAGGAACACCGGUGGUGUAGGCGGCUCUCUGGACCGUAACUGACGCUGAAACACGAAAGCGUGGGUAGCAAACAGGAUUAGAUACCCUGGUAGUCCACGCCCUAAACGAUGCAUAUUUGGUGUGGGUCAUUCAGUUGAUCCGUGCCGGAGCUAACGCGUUAAAUAUGCCGCCUGGGGAGUACAGUCGCAAGGCUGAA